Molecule: long non-coding RNA, 472 nt
Filed under: Gossypium raimondii (Peruvian cotton)
Lineage: Eukaryota; Viridiplantae; Streptophyta; Magnoliopsida; Malvales; Malvaceae
Description: long non-coding RNA (GRAI_LNC001834)
Source: RNAcentral
AUUUUUAUACAUAUCUAUAUACAUGUCUAUAUAUGUAUUUUAUUUUCAUAAAUAUAUAUAUACUUACAUAUUCUUCAUAUUUUUUAGAUAUGUAUUUUAUAUAUGUUCUUUGUAAUACCCAAAUUUUGCCCGACCCAAUACAUAUAUUAAAACCCAAAUAUAAAAAUAAAAAAAUUAAAAGUCCAAAUGCCCAUUACAUUAACCCAAUUUAAAAAAAAAACCAAAAUUACAUACCCAAAGUCCAAUUAACAGAAACCCAAUACCUAAACUACCCAACAUCAGGCGCAAAUUGCUAAUCCACUAGGGCCCAUUAAAAUUUAAACCCAAUUUGCCUAGACCCUAGCCCAAUCACGAAGUGGCCCAACGCAAAAUCAGAGGUUGAAACCCUAGCAGCUUCCAGCGCCGUUCUCCCCAGCCACGCACGCCUCCGUACAGCCUUCACACACCGCCACGCGCUGCGCGUACGUCGUAC